This is a long non-coding RNA of Oreochromis niloticus (Nile tilapia), 1845 nucleotides long. RefSeq lists it as uncharacterized. The transcript has 2 exons. Lineage: Eukaryota; Metazoa; Chordata; Actinopteri; Cichliformes; Cichlidae. The record is from RefSeq and is a predicted model, not a curated record.
AGGAAAACAGUUUUGUGCGAAUUACGCAUCAUUAUAUUACUCUCGCGCAGGACAAAUCUAACACACAGUGUUAAUUCUUUUGUGUAUAGUGUUGAUAAUGUUGAAGAGGAUGGAACUAAAGUCUCCUACUCGACUGAAGCAGCCUCUACUCCGGAGGGAAGCAGAGGGAGAGGAAAGGAUGUCUGGCAAAAAGAGGCAAGCGCCUCAGGUCAGAGUCCCUCUCUGGCGAUGCAGCUGCCUUACAGAGUGAAAAGGACCCAGACAACUUGUCUCAUUGCCUACCGAAUUUCUUUCCAAAAAGAAAGCCAGGUGUGGAGACACCAUUUUCAGUAUGUGUGGACAGUCCAUCUUCAUCUGAACUGUUCAACAUGUACUUUGACCGUGCUGCUAUCAAAACACUGUGUGCCAACACAAACAAAAACGCUCCUAAAAAUAUUGCUGCAGGCAAAAAUUCAAGUGGACUGAGCUCACAGGGGCUGAAAUGUACGAUUACAUUGGCCUAACAAAAUGAGACAUUUUUGACGUGUGAAUUUGAUUUUUCAUGUGGAAUAUCUUUCUGAGGUCAUGUCCAUGUUCCUCACCAUCACUUGGAAUGUUCAUAUGAGUGAUCCUGCGGAAGAUGCUCUCAAUGACAGAAAAAAAGGCACUGGUGAUUAUGACUGCCUGCACAGACUACGUCCACUGUAUGACAGUUUGCAUGUAGCCUGCAAAGCUGUAUACCACCCACAGAAAAACCUCUCUGUGGAUGAGCGCAUGGUCAUCCAUAGAGAGGCUGUCCUCCUACACGGUUGUCCUCCUGUUUUUUCACUCUCUCCGCCUCCGGGGGUUUGUUUACGGAAGUCAUCCUCAGAUGCCAGGUGGCAUCUGACCCGGAAGCACCUCCGCGGGGGAGUCGCCACACCAGCAACUGAGGAGGCGCUCAGCUGUUCCCAAUUAUCUGCCAUCUUAUGAGGGCUAUUUAACUGUGGAGUCAGGCGACACUCGGCGUGGGAAUAUUUACCAAGCCUGAAUUAAGGAUGGAGAGGAGAUUGCUGGGAAGGAAGUCACGAGCACAGAUUCACUUUGGAGGAAGACACGGAUGCACUAUCACACGUUUGGGACAGUUCAGUUCUGUUUCUGAAAGCAGAGACUCUGCGCUUUCCAGUGAUAUUAGGGUCAUUACGGUACUCCAUGGCACGGAAUGACAGCAGCAAGUUGCUGACAUAGCAAAAAGCUGCAGCCAUGCUGAGUCUCCAUUUCGGCUUGUGUUGAAAGUUGGAACUUCAAAGUAUACACACAUUUAUAAAUUUUAAUAACAGGCCACUAAAUCCAGAAUUAUGAUUUAAAAAAAUAAGCAAUGCUUUUUCCUGAAUACUAUUGUCACGUUUGUGCGGGAAGAAACGCUAAAAAAGGCAUUUUCUAAGGACAGUGCAAAAACAGUAAAGAAAGAAAAGACGCCACCUCUUUCCUAUUGGUGGAAAAAUGUACCAUAUCAACCAAUAGACUAUGUGCGCUUUAGCAUAUGCUACUUCCGGUGGGGAAACUCCUGUAUAGUGCUUCGUUUCCGGUGUGAUAUUCGCUCCUUGUUUACGGUCGCGUUUUUCAAAACAAGUCAACAACGAUUUACAUUUCUCAAGAUGUCUUAGCCAUUUACCAAAUAUAUCUGUAGAUGAUGUUCAUUGACUUGUCGAUAUUUUUCCCCCGCGCCUCAGAGCAAAAGAGAGAAAGGAUUGAGUCUUCCUACCCUCUGCUCUUUGUAAUUUAACACGGUCUUUCUGUUUUCGUGUUUUGGGUCCAUCUUCACAGUGGCGAUUGACCACAAAAUAAAGCUACCGGAAAUGUACAACUCUACAUCCGGUCUUAAAA